RNAcentral lists this long non-coding RNA (691 nucleotides) under Mytilus galloprovincialis (Mediterranean mussel). Lineage: Eukaryota; Metazoa; Mollusca; Bivalvia; Mytilida; Mytilidae. The record is from RNAcentral.
GGUGUUAUGAAUUACCUUUAACAUACACUAAGAAAACUCAUUACGACCAAAAAGAUUGAACUCCGAUAAAGCAGUCAAGCAACUUUUAACAAAGGUCAUCUGCGCGUUUACAAAUACACUGUUUCUCCAGGUGGUCGUGUUAGUGUUCGUAUAUUGGUCCGUCAACUUCAUAGAGGCAACCGAAAAGCAAGUCGUGGUUUAUAGAGACCUGUACUUACGAGCAGGCACUCUACCGUCAGGUUUCAAUGGGAAAAUGACUAUCUAUGCUUGAACAUAAGAAGCUGACAAAACACUCAUUGGUCAGAUGGGAGUCAGUUUCUUUUUACUGCCAGUAGACGCCAUAAUACGAAUUUCGCGGGGAAACAAAACGGCCUAUGACCAAAACAAUGUUUGCACAAGGACUGCAUUCAGUGCUGGUGGUGUUCCAGUACGGGGUUGCUUCUUAUACCGUUAUAAGCUGGGUAUGCAUAUUCUGCAGGGUAACAUAAACGGACAGACAUACAGAGAUUUGGUGCCUUAAAACAUUGUAGUCCCUCAUUUUAAUAAUCCCCCACUUGCGUCAACAUUGUCAAGACCCUUGUACAUGGACGACAACGCUAGACCACACAGGGCAAGGAUUUUAACCGAGUCCAAAGAGCAACAAGCCAUUUACACUAUUGUUUGGCCUUCCAUGUCUCCAAACAUAAACCCU